This 585-nucleotide ribosomal RNA is filed under the name uncultured bacterium. Its description in RNAcentral is "partial 16S ribosomal RNA". It matches the Rfam family "Bacterial small subunit ribosomal RNA", at positions 355 to 937 of the family's 1533-position model. The record is from RNAcentral.
UGGGGAAUUUUGGACAAUGGGCGAAAGCCUGAUCCAGCAAUGCCGCGUGUGUGAAGAAGGCCUUCGGGUUGUAAAGCACUUUUGUCCGGAAAAGAAAUCCUUGGCUCUAAUACAGUCGGGGGAUGACGGUCCGGAAGAAUAAGCACCGGCUAACUACGUGCCAGCAGCCGCGGUAAUACGUAGGGUGCAAGCGUUAAUCGGAAUUACUGGGCGUAAAGCGUGCGCAGGCGGUUUGCUAAGACCGAUGUGAAAUCCCCGGGCUCAACUGGGAACUGCAUUGGUGACUGGCAGGCUAGAGUAUGGCAGAGGGGGGUAAAUUCCACGUGUAGCAGUGGAAUGCGUAGAGAUGGUGGAGGAAUACCGAUGGCGAAGGCAGCCCCCUGGGCCAAUACUGACGCUCAUGCACGAAAGCGUGGGGAGCAAACAGGAUUAGAUACCCUGGUAGUCCACGCCCUAAACGAUGUCAACUAGUUGUUGGGGGAUUCAUUUUCCUUAGUAACGUAGCUAACGCGUGAAGUUGACCGCCUGGGGAGUACGGUCGCAAGAUUAAAACUCAAAUGAAUUGACGGGGUCAUAGCUGUUUCC